GACGAACGCUGGCGGCGCGCCUAACACAUGCAAGUCGAACGAGCGAGAGAGAGCUUGCUUUCUCGAGCGAGUGGCGAACGGGUGAGUAACGCGUGAGGAACCUGCCUCAAAGAGGGGGACAACAGUUGGAAACGACUGCUAAUACCGCAUAAGCCCACGACCCGGCAUCGGGUAGAGGGAAAAGGAGCAAUCCGCUUUGAGAUGGCCUCGCGUCCGAUUAGCUAGUUGGUGAGGUAAUGGCCCACCAAGGCGACGAUCGGUAGCCGGACUGAGAGGUUGAACGGCCACAUUGGGACUGAGACACGGCCCAGACUCCUACGGGAGGCAGCAGUGGGGAAUAUUGCACAAUGGGGGAAACCCUGAUGCAGCGACGCCGCGUGGAGGAAGAAGGUCUUCGGAUUGUAAACUCCUGUUGUUGAGGAAGAUAAUGACGGUACUCAACAAGGAA
RNAcentral lists this ribosomal RNA (448 nucleotides) under uncultured bacterium. RNAcentral's name for it is "bacterial SSU rRNA". It matches the Rfam family "Bacterial small subunit ribosomal RNA", at positions 28 to 489 of the family's 1533-position model. The record is from RNAcentral.